This 69-nucleotide transfer RNA is filed under the name Ictidomys tridecemlineatus (thirteen-lined ground squirrel). RNAcentral describes it as "Spermophilus tridecemlineatus (thirteen-lined ground squirrel) tRNA". It matches the Rfam family "tRNA". Rfam says of the family: Transfer RNA (tRNA) molecules are approximately 80 nucleotides in length. Their secondary structure includes four short double-helical elements and three loops (D, anti-codon, and T loops). Lineage: Eukaryota; Metazoa; Chordata; Mammalia; Rodentia; Sciuridae. The record is from Rfam by way of RNAcentral.
GGGGUUGUGGCUCAGUGGUAGAGCACUUGCCUUGCAUGUUUGGGGAACUGGGUUCAAUUCUCAGUACCA